AAGUCGAGCGCCCCGCAAGGGGAGCGGCAGACGGGUGAGUAACGCGUGGGAAUCUACCCAUCACUACGGAACAACUCCGGGAAACUGGAGCUAAUACCGUAUACGUCCUUCGGGAGAAAGAUUUAUCGGUGAUGGAUGAGCCCGCGUUGGAUUAGCUAGUUGGUGGGGUAAUGGCCUACCAAGGCGACGAUCCAUAGCUGGUCUGAGAGGAUGAUCAGCCACACUGGGACUGAGACACGGCCCAGACUCC
This 250-nucleotide ribosomal RNA is filed under the name uncultured Mesorhizobium sp. RNAcentral describes it as "partial 16S ribosomal RNA". It matches the Rfam family "Bacterial small subunit ribosomal RNA", at positions 59 to 339 of the family's 1533-position model. The record is from RNAcentral. Lineage: Bacteria; Pseudomonadati; Pseudomonadota; Alphaproteobacteria; Hyphomicrobiales; Phyllobacteriaceae.